This 449-nucleotide ribosomal RNA is filed under the name uncultured bacterium. RNAcentral describes it as "SSU rRNA". It matches the Rfam family "Bacterial small subunit ribosomal RNA", at positions 26 to 518 of the family's 1533-position model. The record is from RNAcentral.
AGAGCGAACGCUGGCGGCAGGCUUAACACAUGCAAGUCGAGCGGGCGUAGCAAUACGUCAGCGGCAGACGGGUGAGUAACGCGUGGGAACAUACCUUUUGGUUCGGAACAACCCAGGGAAACUUGGGCUAAUACCGGAUAAGCCCUUACGGGGAAAGAUUUAUCGCCGAAAGAUUGGCCCGCGUCUGAUUAGCUAGUUGGUGAGGUAACGGCUCACCAAGGCGACGAUCAGUAGCUGGUCUGAGAGGAUGAUCAGCCACAUUGGGACUGAGACACGGCCCAAACUCCUACGGGAGGCAGCAGUGGGGAAUAUUGGACAAUGGGCGCAAGCCUGAUCCAGCCAUGCCGCGUGAGUGAUGAAGGCCCUAGGGUUGUAAAGCUCUUUUGUGCGGGAAGAUAAUGACGGUACCGCAAGAAUAACGCCCCGGCUAACUUCGCGCCAGCAGCCGC